AGAAUGCUGAACAGAAAAGAGCACAUCCACAAAUCCUGGACCCCAGAUGGUUGCAAAAUGCAUAUACCCAGUUUAGCAUCAAGGACUAUGCUACUGUAGUAUGCAUCUGAGUGCCUAGCCAGUAGUCCACUAUCUUUGCCUCUACAGAAAGCCAUGGCCCAGAAAAUCUGAUCUGAAUCUGGCUACAUCCCUUUACAGCCACCAUUGCAUGCGCCAAGCUCAUGGCCUUGUCUCCUGCCAAAUACAAAUUAGUCAUAUGGUUGUGCAUAUAUAAUUAUAUAUUCAUGGGCUAGCUAGUAGUACACCACUACUUCAUCAAACUCACAGAUCAAGAAUUUCUGAGCUACAUACCUCAGAACCAAG
Molecule: long non-coding RNA, 363 nt
Filed under: Triticum aestivum (bread wheat)
Lineage: Eukaryota; Viridiplantae; Streptophyta; Magnoliopsida; Poales; Poaceae
Description: long non-coding RNA (TAES_LNC006019)
Source: RNAcentral